GACGAACGCUGGCGGCGUGCUUAACACAUGCAAGUCGAACGGAAAGGCCCUGCUUUUGUGGGGUGCUCGAGUGGCGAACGGGUGAGUAACACGUGAGUAACCUGCCCUUGACUUUGGGAUAACUUCAGGAAACUGGGGCUAAUACCGGAUAGGAGCUCCUGCUGCAUGGUGGGGGUUGGAAAGUUUCGGCGGUUGGGGAUGGACUCGCGGCUUAUCAGCUUGUUGGUGGGGUAGUGGCUUACCAAGGCUUUGACGGGUAGCCGGCCUGAGAGGGUGACCGGCGACAUUGGGACUGAGAUACGGCCCAGACUCCUACGGGCGGCAGCAGUGGGGAAUAUUGCACAAUGGGCGGAAGCCUGAUGCAGCAGCGCCGCGUGCGGGAUGACGGCCUUCGGGUUGUAAACCGCUUUCGCCUGUGACGAAGCGUGAGUGACGGUAAUGGGUAAAGAAGCACCGGCUAACUACGUG
RNAcentral lists this ribosomal RNA (468 nucleotides) under uncultured bacterium. RNAcentral's name for it is "partial 16S ribosomal RNA". It matches the Rfam family "Bacterial small subunit ribosomal RNA", at positions 28 to 507 of the family's 1533-position model. The record is from RNAcentral.